Salvia splendens (bonfire salvia) is the source of this 87-nucleotide small nucleolar RNA. RefSeq annotates it as small nucleolar RNA SNORA17. Lineage: Eukaryota; Viridiplantae; Streptophyta; Magnoliopsida; Lamiales; Lamiaceae. The record is from RefSeq and is a predicted model, not a curated record. The transcript has a single exon.
CUUGCCUAAGAGCAGGCAGAAAAAGUGGGGCCGGGCCCACAUCCGUGCUCUUGCCAGCGAGCACGGAUGUGGGCUCGGCCCCACUUU